UUUUAAUUGGUAGGAAUUGGA
This 21-nucleotide non-coding RNA is filed under the name Caenorhabditis elegans. The record is from RNAcentral. Lineage: Eukaryota; Metazoa; Nematoda; Chromadorea; Rhabditida; Rhabditidae.